RNAcentral lists this ribosomal RNA (402 nucleotides) under Verrucomicrobiota bacterium. RNAcentral describes it as "Verrucomicrobia bacterium partial 16S ribosomal RNA". It matches the Rfam family "Bacterial small subunit ribosomal RNA", at positions 355 to 776 of the family's 1533-position model. Lineage: Bacteria; Pseudomonadati; Verrucomicrobiota. The record is from RNAcentral.
UGGGGAAUUUUGCACAAUGGGGGAAACCCUGAUGCAGCGACGCCGCGUGAUUUAGAAGGCCUUCGGGUUGUAAAAAUCUUUUGUAUGGGAAGAAAAUGACAGUACCAUACGAAUAAGGACCGGCUAAUUACGUGCCAGCAGCCGCGGUAAUACGUAAGGUCCGAGCAUUGUCCGGAAUCAUUGGGCGUAAAGGGUACGUAGGCGGAUAAGCAAGUUAGAAGUGAAAUCCUAUAGCUCAACUAUAGUAAGCUUUUAAAACUGCUCAUCUUGAGGUAUGGAAGGGAAAGUGGAAUUCCUAGUGUAGCGGUGAAAUGCGCAGAUAUUAGGAGGAAUACCGGUGGCGAAGGCGACUUUCUGGCCAUAUACUGACGCUGAGGUACGAAAGCGUGGGUAGCAAACAGG